Long non-coding RNA from Octopus bimaculoides (California two-spot octopus), 2019 nucleotides. NCBI's taxonomy places the organism in Eukaryota, Metazoa, Mollusca, Cephalopoda, Octopoda, Octopodidae. The record is from RefSeq and is a predicted model, not a curated record.
GAGAGAGAGGGGGGGUUGAGUGAUUGAAUCCUUCUACAAUCACUUCAUUAAGCUUUUUCAAAAUGAUUUCUGAUUUGUUUUUUACUGUAAAAUGUUUCUAUUCUACUCUUGACAUCUCUCUAGUUACCAUACUAUCGUAUACAUACAACACCAUUUCUACCACAGUACAAAACAUUGCUACUGCUACUACUACUACUACUACUACACUAUUACAGUACUGAACAGCUCACAGUAAUACUUGUACUCCUCGCCACAGUAAACUCCAAACUCUUCUUACUCUCUUACAUCGCACCACCAUUUCUUCAUUUUCUCAUUGUAUUUCUAGAAAAUCUCAGUUUUAGAAUCGGAAACGUUGUGUCACCUGUCUUUUCUACGUUACAAACUGUCCAGUGAACCGACUGAGUGUGUCUCUGUGUAACACCGGGUUGUGUUUACAAUACGACCUGUGUAAAUUAACGCGUUUAUCAUGUGUGUGUUUUCAACCCUAAUUGAUUUGUUUCAUUACAUCAUUUUAAUGUGUGUAACACAUUUUCAGAUAUCUCUAUCUGGUUUAACUGAAACAACCAACUAAGUUUGGUUUCUUCACAGUGAAUGGCUGUCCCCCCUCAGAGCAUUUCCUCUCCGGCCGAUACAGCAUUGGUAGCCUCCCGGGCCGACAUUCGGCAUCCAUCAUUAGUCUUCUCAAUUCCACAUCUGGAGCAAGUACUGUAUGACAUGAAAGCCAUCAGAAAGCAGCAGAUAUGGUAAUCAAGAGGAUUAUGAUGACGAUGAUGAUAAUUGGUGGUGGUGGUGGUGGUGGUGGUGGUGAAGGUGGUGAUGGUGGUGAAGGUGGUAGAUUCACCAACGACUUCCAGUCAGUCCAUUUCUGCAUUCAAUUAUUUUUUACACAGAACGUCGUUAACUGCUGUGAUAGUUUAAACCACACUUGGACAUUUCUGCGUCUGUCCUUCAUCAACUGCAAGUUUUACUGACCACAACACUUCUUUCCUCCUGUUGCAGUUUUAAAGAAUCAUUUUUUAAAAAUCUUUUCUUUUUUUUUAAAUAUAUGGACAACAACAAACAAAUGGUCAAUUGUCCUGUAGAAUUGAUCUCUAAACUGUUCUCUAUCAUUUCUGUGAUAUGACCCAUGCUCUUCUCCUGGACAGCCACUGCUUUGCUGACCAAACAACAGACCAUCACUGACUUAACAACAUUCUUUAGAUCAUCAUUAACUAACAACACAUAACAACGCUGACUGAUCUAAAGACCUAACAACACCCACGGACACCUUUGAAUUUGUAUUUUACCCACAACUAAAACCCCAAACCACCCCCAAAACCAUUUAGAGAUGAACUCUGUACCCUUUUACUCAUGCCCAUGUAUAUUGCAGUGUUGUACAUCUGGGGUACAAUGUGUACAGAAGUGUUGCACUGCUGUGGUACUCUGCUUACCAAACUGUUGUACUCUUAAGAGUACACUGCUUACAGGAUAGCUUCUCUUUUGGACUACUCUGCUUCCAGUAGUAUUUCACAUCUGUGGUACAUUAAUUACAACAUCACUGCACCUCCCAGGGUACUCCACGACAUUUCUUUUGAUGUAUAUAACUUGUGUGGUACUCCAGACUUGGGUUUCUUUACCUGUCAGUGUAGUAAUACAACCUGUAGUAGAUAGGGUACCUGUGAUCUGUUACACACCUGUUCUACUAUUUCUAAACUAAAUACCCGGCAUAGAACUGCUGGACUUGUAGUGAUGUACCCCAACUGCAAGCUGUACUUGUCUAUGUACCCCAUCUGACAAAUAAAUGUACAUAUCUGUGCUACCCAUGAGAAAACAUUGACUAUGAAGAGGUACCACCGAUUUGUGUACCCAAAAUGAAUGAGGUACAGCUGUGUACCUUAACUAACAUAAAGUUAUUUAAUGAAACAAUAUAUAUAUAAUAAUUAAUAAUAAUGAUAAUUGCAAUAAAUGCUUUAGUGUUUUUAAUUGCCCCUCCCCCAUCUCAUACAGUUGAUCUUUUUCAUAAAAUUUUGUUUUAAAAUU